GGUUUCCGUNGGUGAACUGCGGAAGGAUCAUUGUCG
Molecule: ribosomal RNA, 36 nt
Filed under: Rotheca incisa
Lineage: Eukaryota; Viridiplantae; Streptophyta; Magnoliopsida; Lamiales; Lamiaceae
Description: partial 18S ribosomal RNA
Source: RNAcentral